Molecule: non-coding RNA, 605 nt
Organism: Arvicanthis niloticus (Nile rat)
Lineage: Eukaryota; Metazoa; Chordata; Mammalia; Rodentia; Muridae
Source: RefSeq, a predicted model, not a curated record
ACGCCCAGAGCUCAGUGCUGCUGAGUUCCGUUACAGAGCUUCAGGUUGCAGUGGUAAACGGUUACUGUGGAGAUUUAUAAUUGGCCCAAAUGCCGAGAAUAAGUGACAAAUGAAUUCCUGGCUGUAAAUGGGAUAUCUAUGUCACCCAAAUCAAGGUUCAGGGAACAUGAAGAAGAGGAACAAAGCCGAAGCUUCACUGAGCAAAGAGAGCAAUCAACAGAAGGCAGAGCCUUGGGCAACAAAAGAAACCCGGAGCCGGCAUCUGCCCCUGGGCUUUGCCCAUCUUGGAUAUGGCUCUCCAGCAGCUGCUAUAGCCAUCCACACUCACGUCUGUACAAAGACUGGCUUCUCUCUGUAGCAGCAGAGUGUUGUUUAUAUGGCAGACUGACAUUGAAAUCCCAAGCUGCCAAAUGCUCUGCAGACUACAGCGUCUACACCCCAACCCCCAGCAGUGCAUCCGAUUCCUGCCUCUCCUCUCCAUGCCAGGUCAAGCCUGCUCUAUCAACCUUCUAGCACUGGAUGUUCGAAUGAUUUUAGUUUGUAUUUUCCUGAACACUAAUGAUGCUGAACACAAUUACAAAAUAAAUGCCACUUUUUUUGGUGAA